UGAACUAGCCUGAAAAUGGAUGGCGCUCAAGCGUGCUACCCAUACCUCGCCGUCGGGGUAGAAACGAUGCCCGACGAGUAGGCAGGCGUGGAGGUCCGUGACGAAGCCUUGGGAGUGAUCCCGGGUCGAACGGCCUCUAGUGCAGAUCUUGGUGGUAGUAGCAAAUACUCAAAUGAGAACUUUGAGGACUGAAGUGGGGAAAGGUUCCAUGUGAACAGCAGUUGGACAUGGGUUAGUCGAUCCUAAGGUAUAGGGAAGUUCCGUUUGAAAGGCGCCCUCGUGCGCCGUGUACCGAAAGGGAAGCCGGUUAAUAUUCCGGCACCUGGAUGUGGAUUCUCCACGGCAACGUAACUGAACGCGGAGACAUCGGCGGGGGUCCUGGGAAGAGUUCUCUUUUCUUCUUGACAGCCUAUCACCCUGAAAUCGGUUUGUCCGGAGCUAGGGUUCCACGGCUGGCAGAGCCCUGCACCUUUGCAGGGUCCGGUGCGCCCCCGACGAUCCUUGAAAAUCCGCGGGAAGGAAUAGUUUUCACGCCAGGUCGUACUCAUAACCGCAGCAGGUCUCCAAGGUGAACAGCCUCUAGUUGAUAGAACAAUGUAGAUAAGGGAAGUCGGCAAAAUGGAUCCGUAACUUCGGGAUAAGGAUUGGCUCUAAGGGUCGGGCUCGCUGGGCCUUGGGGGAAACCUCUCGGAGCAGGGGGGCACUAGCCGGGCAACCGGCCGGCGCCCCCCAGCACCGGGAUGGGGACGCCCUUGGCAGGCUUCGGCCGUCCGGCGGGCGCUUAACGACCAACUUAGAACUGGUACGGACA
This 811-nucleotide non-coding RNA is filed under the name Aspergillus carbonarius ITEM 5010. RNAcentral's name for it is "Eukaryotic large subunit ribosomal RNA". It matches the Rfam family "Eukaryotic large subunit ribosomal RNA", at positions 1302 to 2125 of the family's 3401-position model. Lineage: Eukaryota; Fungi; Ascomycota; Eurotiomycetes; Eurotiales; Aspergillaceae. The record is from Rfam by way of RNAcentral.